UUCCAGACUCCUACGGGAGGCAGCAGUGGGGGAUAUUGCACAAUGGGGGGAACCCUGAUGCAGCGACGCCGCGUGGGUGAAGAAGCGCCUCGGCGCGUAAAGCCCUGUCAGCAGGGAAGAAAAUGACGGUACCUGAAGAAGAAGCCCCGGCUAACUACGUGCCAGCAGCCGCGGUAAUACGUAGGGGGCAAGCGUUAUCCGGAAUUACUGGGUGUAAAGGGAGAGUAGGCGGCAAGGUAAGCGAUAUGUGAAAGCCUUAGGCUUAACCUGAGGAUUGCAUAACGAACUAUCUAGCUAGAGUACAGGAGAGGAAAGCGGAAUUCCUAGUGUAGCGGUGAAAUGCGUAGAUAUUAGGAGGAACACCAGUGGCGAAGGCGACUUUCUGGACUGUACCUGACGCUGAGGCGCGAAAGCGUGGGUAGCGAACGGGAUUAGAUACCCCCGUAGC
This 448-nucleotide ribosomal RNA is filed under the name uncultured bacterium. RNAcentral describes it as "partial 16S ribosomal RNA". It matches the Rfam family "Bacterial small subunit ribosomal RNA", at positions 329 to 794 of the family's 1533-position model. The record is from RNAcentral.